This 492-nucleotide ribosomal RNA is filed under the name uncultured soil bacterium. RNAcentral describes it as "bacterial SSU rRNA". It matches the Rfam family "Bacterial small subunit ribosomal RNA", at positions 26 to 513 of the family's 1533-position model. The record is from RNAcentral.
AGAUUGAACGCUGGCGGCAGGCCUAACACAUGCAAGUCGAGCGGCAGCACGGGUACUUGUACCUGGUGGCGAGCGGCGGACGGGUGAGUAAUGCCUAGGAAUCUGCCUGGUAGUGGGGGGAUAACGCUCGGAAACGGACGCUAAUACCGCAUACGUCCUACGGGAGAAAGCAGGGGACCUUCGGGCCUUGCGCUAUCAGAUGAGCCUAGGUCGGAUUAGCUAGUUGGUGGGGUAAUGGCUCACCAAGGCGACGAUCCGUAACUGGUCUGAGAGGAUGAUCAGUCACACUGGAACUGAGACACGGUCCAGACUCCUACGGGAGGCAGCAGUGGGGAAUAUUGGACAAUGGGCGAAAGCCUGAUCCAGCCAUGCCGCGUGUGUGAAGAAGGUCUUCGGAUUGUAAAGCACUUUAAGUUGGAGAAGGCAGUUACCUAAUACGUAUCUGUUUUGACGUUACCGAUAGAAUAAGCACCGGCUAACUCUGUGCCAGCA